UACGGGGGGGGCAAGCGUUGUUCGGAAUUACUGGGCGUAAAGGGCUCGUAGGCGGCCAACUAAGUCAGACGUGAAAUCCCUCGGCUUAACCGGGGAACUGCGUCUGAUACUGGAUGGCUUGAGAUUGGGAGAGGGAUGCGGAAUUCCAGGUGUAGCGGUGAAAUGCGUAGAGAUGUGGAGGAAUACCGAUGGCGAAGGCAGCCCCCUGGGACGUGACUGACGCUCAUGCACGAAAGCGUGGGGAGCAAACAGG
Molecule: ribosomal RNA, 253 nt
Filed under: uncultured bacterium
Lineage: Bacteria
Description: partial 16S ribosomal RNA
Rfam family: Bacterial small subunit ribosomal RNA
Source: RNAcentral